UUCAUGUGCCCGUGUUCCAAAAUACUCUUACAAUUAUUAGAAAGACAUUUUAUUUUCUUAAAAUAGGCAUUAGAAAUAGGAAUUUUCUUAUUUGUCUUAGCUAGAACAAUCCCCAAUUUAUCCAAUGGUGUCACCAAACAGGUCUGCACUGGGUCCAUAAGACAUUCAUCAUUCAAUGGUAGAACAUUUUAUCUACAUUUGUCAUUAUAUUUCACAGGGAUCCAGGAGGUACUGAAAAAAGGGACAAUGCUGUUAAUGAGGCAUAUUCAAUAAUUCUUAUACUCGUGAAGAGUGUGGCAACUCCCAAGUAGUUAAUGAUGGCACUCAUUUUAAAUCAGAUCCUCGCUCCUAGGAUGUUUUCCAUGUUCUUGUGAAAAGUGUUUUACAUGGCACCAUUCAGCUACAAAUACUUUGCCGGUGGAACUGUGACAUCAAUCAACUGCUCAUGCCACUGCUAAUUGGCAGAAUUUCCUUUGGGACAAGCAAACUGUUUCAAAUAUUUUACACCUGCAAGUAGUGAUGAGUGUACUGGAAGUUUUUUCGGGAUCUUGUCUGACAUCAUAGGUACAACUGAUCACUGUGCUUUCUUGGUUAUAUAAGCAGGCUUAUUGUUAAA
Long non-coding RNA from Saccostrea cuccullata (small rock oyster), 616 nucleotides. RefSeq lists it as uncharacterized. The record is from RefSeq and is a predicted model, not a curated record. The transcript has 3 exons. NCBI's taxonomy places the organism in Eukaryota, Metazoa, Mollusca, Bivalvia, Ostreida, Ostreidae.